AGUGAACGCUGGCGGUAGGCCUAACACAUGCAAGUCGAACGGCAGCACAGUAAGAGCUUGCUCUUACGGGUGGCGAGUGGCGGACGGGUGAGGAAUACAUCGGAAUCUACUUUUUCGUGGGGGAUAACGUAGGGAAACUUACGCUAAUACCGCAUACGACCUACGGGUGAAAGCAGGGGAUCUUCGGACCUUGCGCGAUUGAAUGAGCCGAUGUCGGAUUAGCUAGUUGGCGGGGUAAAGGCCCACCAAGGCGACGAUCCGUAGCUGGUCUGAGAGGAUGAUCGGCCACACUGGAACUGAGGCACGGUCCAGGCUCCUGCGGGAGGCAGCGGUGGGGAAUAUUGGACAAUGGGCGCAAGCCUGAUCCAGCCAUACCGCGUGGGUGAAGAAGGCCUUCGGGUUGUAAAGCCCUUUUGUUGGGAAAGAAAAGCAGCAGGUUAAUACCCCGCUGUUCUGACGGUACCCAAAGAAUAAGCACCGGCUAACUUCGUG
This 492-nucleotide ribosomal RNA is filed under the name uncultured bacterium. RNAcentral describes it as "partial 16S ribosomal RNA". It matches the Rfam family "Bacterial small subunit ribosomal RNA", at positions 29 to 507 of the family's 1533-position model. The record is from RNAcentral.